This 259-nucleotide long non-coding RNA is filed under the name Glycine max (soybean). Its description in RNAcentral is "long non-coding RNA (GMAX_LNC003257)". Lineage: Eukaryota; Viridiplantae; Streptophyta; Magnoliopsida; Fabales; Fabaceae. The record is from RNAcentral.
CACUUUUCUCUUUCUUUUUCAUUUUUUUCUCUCUGCCUUUAAUUAAUGAUGGGAUGUUCACUUGCUGUAUUGCGCCGUAACGCGUAUCCUCGUGGAGUGUGGAGUGUGGAGUCUGUGUGCUUUAGAGGAUUUCGGAUUAUAUUCUUUUAAAUGUUCUUUAAUUACGUCAAAUAUAUUGAGAACUGCGAAAUUGAAGCUUUAGUACAUUGUGCUUCAUAUUCUUAAGCAGAAUAAAAACUACACACUUUUAAUUAUGAAA